This is an unclassified non-coding RNA of Phascolarctos cinereus (koala), 300 nucleotides long. It matches the Rfam family "Metazoan signal recognition particle RNA". From Rfam's summary of the family: The signal recognition particle (SRP) is a universally conserved ribonucleoprotein. It is involved in the co-translational targeting of proteins to membranes. The record is from Ensembl. Lineage: Eukaryota; Metazoa; Chordata; Mammalia; Diprotodontia; Phascolarctidae.
GCAUUGGAUGCGGUGGCCCAUGUCUGUAACCCCUGAUGCUGGAGAGGCUGAAGCUGUCAGAUUAUUUGAGUUUGGGAAUUCUGAGCUUCAAUAGGGUUAAAGCUGACUGGAUGCCUACAGUAAAUCUGGCACAAUACAGUGAACUCCCCGAACCUGGGGGCUACCAGGCUGCUUAAGGAGGGGCAAACCAGCCGAGGGUAGAAAUGGAGCAGGUCAAAGCUUUCAUGCCAUUCAGCAAUAGAAUCUGACCCAAGAGAGGCUACAUUUUCAGCCUAGGAGCGAAAGGAAGACCCAGUAUCA